RNAcentral lists this ribosomal RNA (372 nucleotides) under uncultured organism. Its description in RNAcentral is "bacterial SSU rRNA". It matches the Rfam family "Bacterial small subunit ribosomal RNA", at positions 526 to 896 of the family's 1533-position model. The record is from RNAcentral.
CGAGGGGUGCAAGCGUUGCUCGGAAUUAUUGGGCGUAAAGGGCAGGUAGGUGGUCUCACUUGUCUGAUGUGAAAGCCUUGGGCUUAACCCAAGAAGUGCGUCAGAAACGGUGAGACUGGAGUAUCGGAGAGGCGAGUGGAAUUCCCGGUGUAGCGGUGAAAUGCGUAGAGAUCGGGAGGAACACCAGAGGCGAAGGCGGCUCGCUGGACGAUGACCGACACUCAACUGCGAAAGCGUGGGGAGCAAACAGGAUUAGAUACCCUGGUAGUCCACGCUGUAAACGAUGGGUACUAGGCUUGGUGGGUCUUGACCCCCGCUGAGCCGGAGCUAACGCAAUAAGUACCCCGCCUGGGAAGUACGGUCGCAAGACUA